Molecule: long non-coding RNA, 1939 nt
Filed under: Olea europaea subsp. europaea
Lineage: Eukaryota; Viridiplantae; Streptophyta; Magnoliopsida; Lamiales; Oleaceae
Source: RNAcentral
UACAAACACCGUGGUACUCAACUCUGUCACAACCAGCUGACAAUGAACAUAGCAUAUUAUAUGUUAUUGUCAAUGGAGAAUGUAGCACAAUCAAUAUCGGAUCACAUUUGUGCGCAACAAACGACAAGUCGUGGUACAUCGAGAACUUCAACUAGAGUUGGGCCUAGUUCUGCUUCUGGUGCCUCAAGAUAUGUAACCUAAGAUCGUAUGGAAGAAAUGUUGGAUAUGUACAAGCAGCAUACGAUAUUAGAUAUGUCCAGUUUAUGUGGCAACUUGAAGGCAGAAUUUGUUGAAGAAUCAAGAGCCCUAAACCAUGCGAUCCUUGAAAACCAAAAGUUGCUGUUCGAACAACAGGAUAAAUCGUUGCAAGAUUACAUGUAAUAUGGUAUAUAUUCGUACAUGGAUAAUUCUCUAUCUAGUUUGUUUCACAGUGAUAUUGUCCAGGAAUCGUAAAAAUAAGAAGCCCAUUAUCAGGCAGUUUUCCAAAAGUAAGAAGAAUUAUUCCAACGGUAACAAGAGCACAUGCGGUGUUAUGUUGAUACCAAUUUAUGUUCCGUGAGAUCAUACAUUGACGAAUAUAAUGAGAAUGUACAGAACAAAUUAUCUAACUGGAAAUCCAACAUGAAAGCCAUUAUAGGUUCUAUGCAGCAAGAUGGUGCUUCCCAUGCAAGUCCAAAUCCUAUUGAUCACUCACAGGAGACAUUAAAGUCUCAACAAAUCGAACGUGUUGAAAGGUGGAAAAGAGAAAGGGAAAAGAAGAGGAAGUACAUACAGUCUUCAUCAUCGACAGGUCGUCCCUUUGAAGACUACGACAUGAAAUACAAAACAAUUAGAGAUUUUAUAGCAACAGAUCAACCGGGGCAACAAAGUUAACUCAUUCUUACUAGUUCGAAUGCUAAACAUUAUUACGGCAAUACCAAAAAUUCUCUGUUGAUUUAUUUAAUACUAAUGUAAAUUAUGUUAUACAGUGCAUAUUUGGACGAUGGCAGUGAAAAUGUCUACGGAAUGGACAUGCUGAGAACAUUAAUUGAUCCGACGAAAGAUCUGAAUAUUGCGGUAAGGGAAGGCUAGCAAUCACAAUCAAUUUGAUUUCGUAGUUAAUAUGUCUAAUAAAUGUUACAUGUAUUUAUUUCAUUAGCAUAUUUAGUUGGAGUUGAAGUUAUUGAGGCGGCGUAUGAAUGAAGGUUGUACUCUCAUCAAUAAAUAAUAUGCAAUUUUGGACUUUCAAUUUGAAGAGGAGUGUUCUCAUCAAAUAAGGUAGCAAUUGGAUUUUCGAAUAGAAAAUCGGAGAGAUGAACCGAAUGGAACUCGCCUACAAGACUAUGUCAACUAUAAAUUACCUGUAGAUGGUCGUCUGUGGAUGGGGUGCAAGUAUUUAUUAAUUUCAAACUCAUAUCCGAGCAAUGAAUGUUAUCUUUUUAUGGUCAAUAUUUUUGAAUGGAAAUUUCAGAUAUACAACUGCAGCAAUAAUGUUCACACAUCAGAUGCAAUCAAGGUACACGCAAAAGCAAAAUGCACUAUGGUUAAAGGAUUAUUGCACUGUUCACCCCUUUCUAACAGACGAGAUAUAAAUAAACAUAGCAAUGAACGAAUGAAGUAGGAGAUUAUACCUUAUCUAUCAUAUGCAAAUAAUGAGUGAGCAUUUCAACUCUUGUUAUUUACUCGUAUAUGUCACAUUAGACUAACGUAAAAACAUUUCUUGUACAGGUUAAAUUGCGUAAUGUUUGUACUCAAAUAUAUAGGAUGCUUCGUUCUAGGGCAUCCAAUAGAAACAGUUUCAGCGGAUAGGAUGUCACUAUACAGAAGAAAGAUUACGGUUGAUCUUUGUCAGAACGAAUACUUUCUUCAUCCUCGAUAGUGAAAAAUUCGUAGUGGCUAGCUGUACUUUGAUUAUGUGAUCGUUGAUUUUAUUUUAUCAAUAGUGUUCAUGAANGACAUG